CCCGUCGCUCCUACCGAUUGAAUGAUCCGGUGAAGUGUUCGGAUUGCAGCGAUGCUGACGGUUCGCCGCCGGCGACGCUGUGAGAAGUUCAUUAAACCUUAUCAUUUAGAGGAAGGAGAAGUCGUAACAAGGUUUCCGUAGGUGAACCUGCGGAAGGAUCAUUG
Molecule: non-coding RNA, 164 nt
Filed under: Selaginella moellendorffii
Lineage: Eukaryota; Viridiplantae; Streptophyta; Lycopodiopsida; Selaginellales; Selaginellaceae
Description: Eukaryotic small subunit ribosomal RNA
Rfam family: Eukaryotic small subunit ribosomal RNA
Source: Rfam by way of RNAcentral